Molecule: long non-coding RNA, 708 nt
Filed under: Arachis ipaensis
Lineage: Eukaryota; Viridiplantae; Streptophyta; Magnoliopsida; Fabales; Fabaceae
Description: long non-coding RNA (AIPA_LNC001318)
Source: RNAcentral
GCAACUACAAAACAAAGAAGUAUCCAUAACCAGAUACGAAAUUAAAGACCAGCCACAGGCCCAUAGCACAUUGAAAAAUCAAAAAAUUAUCAACAUGACCAUAUCUAAAUUCUGCCCCCCAACAUUCAGCAACAAACAAAGCCAGCAAAACCAGCAAUAAUUAGAAGCCAGCAACUACAAAUCAAAGCAAAACCAGCAACUACAAAUCAAAGCCAUUAGCAAAUGUGAACAAAAAAAUUAGGAGCCAUCAGCAACCAGUAAACCAGUAAAAGUGUAAAACACUAGCCAACGAGAAAUUAGAAAACACUAAACAGAGUAACAAUAAAUUUGAAAACAGAGAAAACACUAAAAUAGAGAAAACACUAAAACACUAACCUGGGUAAUUAGUUAAUUACAGAUCCAUCAAAAAAUACAUUCAUAAAUUAGAAGAAUCUUGUGACUGACUAUUACUCAAACAGGCAUUAUCAGCAACUGCUUCUUGAUUAAUACUUUCAUCCAUAACUAAAUUCAAUAAAUCAUAAUCCAAAUUAAAAACAGCAACAGAACGGCUAGAAAUCCAAUAAUCAUCCAUAAGACCAUAGAACAGAAUCAGUAACAAAUCCAUUACUCAAUUUCAGAAACAAAUCCAUUACUCAAUUUCAGAAUCAGUAACAAAUCAGUAACAAAAGCACAUAUUAGAACAGAAUCAGUAACAUACCAGAAAUCAAU